AUGGGGGACCAUGAGACUGUCAUCGAAAGGGAUGAGCAGAGAGAAAUUGAACAGAAGUUUGAGGAACUCUUGUUGGAUUACCAGAUCAGUGAAAAUGAAAGCCUGCAAGAUGUCACAUUUGAAGACAGGAUGAGAAACCUCCAGACUGAGCUGACAGUCCAAUACUUUAGAGAGAAGCACCUCUCCCUUUGGCCUCUUUUUACCUUAGAGAAUGCCAUCAUGUAUGAAGAUCUCUCUCUAACUGAGAGGUUCUGUAUCCUUAAGGCCGUGACAGAGGUAACACUGGCAGGCAACCCGGAUGCCGUCAAUGGGGAUGUCCACCAACUUGAGUGUGCCAAGAGGUAUAACUUCCACCUUAGUCUUCUUGAGCAUCUGAAUGGUUCAAAUUCCACUCUGGCAGGUAAACUUCUUUUGGCUUUUUUUGACACAUUUUCAGAUGUGUCUCAGACCAGCAGGGAGCUCCUUAGUCAAAUUCUCUUCAGUAACAUCUGGACACCUGUAGAAAUCCUGCUCUUUCUUCGUGGGGUUGGUUCCAUGGACCAGAAGAAAACAGAUGCAAUCCUUCAUACAGUGCAGACCUACAGGCUGGAUCUUCUCUCCACACUCUCUGCCCUUAGAAGUAAUGAUCCCAAUAAGACUCUGCAAGGUUAUGCAGAAGAAGAAACUGACAAAGAUAUUGACACCAUUUUGAGUGAGAUGCGGGAUGCAAAUUACCCCGAAAAGUUACUCUCUAUAAUGGAGACUGUCUUAGGACAUAUAGAAGAGAAGCUUUCAAAAGAUCCCAUGGUAGACACACAGAAGAAACUGAGCAAGAGAGAAAAAAUGGAAAUGAUCAAAGACUUCAAGAACAAAAUUAAAUUGUUGAAUUUUGCUGAGGCAGACAACACUAUCCUCAAGGAAGUUCUUAUUACAAUGUGUAUUGCUGUUAAAGACUGCACAGCCGUUUCCACUCAAAGUGGAGAGCAAAUCAAGGGAUAUUUUCCCAGACUCACCCAGCUGGCAUCAUUAGUCAUGCUCCUUCUACCAAAGGCAACAUCAGAUAAAGGAUGCCUCUUAGAAAUUGGCACAGGAGAAGGAAAGUCUUGCAUUCUAGCUAUGUUUGCAGCAAUCCAGGCCAUCAGAGGGGCCACAGUCGACAUUGUGACCAGUUCUCCAAUCCUUGCACGACGGGACGAAGAGGAGUGGAGAAAACUUUUUGACAUGUUUGAUAUCACAUCCUCCGUUGUGCCUCCACCGUUGAUGAAGGAGAGCAGCCUUAAAAGCUGUGACAAAAUACUACAGGACGCUUACAAAAGACAGAUUGUGUAUGGAACUGUAAGUGACUUUGCAGCAGACACUUUGAGGCAGGAAUUUGAGAAAAACACCACUCGUGGGGAGAGGAAGUUUGACUUAGUGAUUGUGGAUGAAGUAGAUUACAUGACCUUGGACAGUGGAGUGCAGGUGACCUUCCUGUCUCAUGAAGCCAGCGGCCUUAGGCACGUUGAGCAAGUCCUUGCUAGCAUUUGGUGCAUGAUAUCCGUGUGUCGGCCUAUUCGAAUGGAAGAAACGGGGGAGACUGAGUGGAUAACUGGGAUACAGCAUUUUCACAAGGCUGCAAAGAUGGCUGUUAUGGGCUCAGACAGAUCUGAACACUUUUCUGAAUUUAAUAUUCUGCAAACAGGGUUGCAGUUUGGAUUUUACACACAGGAAGACAUUGAUACAUUGAUGCAGAGUGAAAGUGAGGCACAAAGAGAUGGUAAAGCUGAUGAUUUUCAAGAUGAGAAUUGGAAAGCUAUUGAGGUGUUCAUGACUAAAAUUGGAGUGGAACAACAAUAUGAUCUGCUCAGUAUUCUUGAGACGGCAUUAGAUCAAACUGUUUUCAUCGACUGUUACACAUUAACAAAUAAUAAAGCCACAUCAAUUGGAGAGAAAAAAAGGGACAGUGACAUGAAAAUCAAAAUGCUUCUCCUCAACAAUGGACGAGCUAGUGAAAUAAUGUCUGAAAAAUCACUAAUUGAUGCAGUUGUUCUUGAGAUACAAUCUAAAAUCAUAUAUUCUGACCAAUGUCAGCCAAACUCAGAGGAAACCGAUAACUAUAUUGUGAUCCCCUUCUUCCUUAAGAAGUACAUUGAGAAUCGGAUGCCAGUCUUUGUGGGAAAUGCCUUAAAAGCUAUUGCAAUGAAACAAGGCAGAGAGUACAUGAUUGGCAUGUCUUCUGACGCUAAUCCAAGCACUGUCAGUGAGUCUGACAAACAUUUCUACCAUGCCAUCAUCCCAGUGGACUACCAGGCCAGUGGAGUACUGGAAAAGAACAAACGCUGGGGUGACGGCCUUCAACAGUUUCUAGAGAUGAAGCACCAGUUGGCCAUAUCAUCGCUAUCCAAUGUUACAAAUUAUAUGUCAAAUAUCCAUUACUUUAAAAGAUACCUUAAAGGGAGUGGCAUAUUUGGUGUUUCUGGAACAUUAGGUGGAAAUGCAGACAAACACUUCUUGAAAAGCCAUUACAAAUCAGACAGCUAUACGAUACCUUCUCACAGGCACAAUAAGGUAGUUGAACUCCCCGCUCUUCAGGUAAGCGGUGAUGACUUAAAAUGGAUAGAGGUAGUCUGUGAAAGUGCAUUGAAAGCUGCCGACAGGAACCAGGUCGUCUUGGUGGUUUGUGAGGAUGUUAAGACAGCAAAUGAAUUACAGGUGGCAAUGGCCAACCGAAGAGCAAAUCAACGACAUCCAAUCACCAUGUACACAAUCAGUGAGAGAGACAACAUUGAGCAAACCACAUUCAGUGGGGGAAGCAUCAUUAUCGCCACCAAUCUGGGAGGACGUGGCACAGACAUUAGAUUGGAGCAGAAAGUGAAUCAAUGCGGCGGACUCUUUGUCCUUCUCACGCACUUUCCUGACAAUCGCAGAGUGGAGAAACAGGUGUUUGGACGCACAGCCAGAAAAGGAAAUUCCGGCAUGGUACAAAUGAUACUCCAUUGUGACCAACUGGCACCAGCGUACCAGGGCCAGCCUGUGGAGAUCAUGAGGCAGCUAAGAGAGGAUCAUGAAAUCCAACGCAUCACUGGUAUGGAGACAAAUGAGCUGCAGGAAAUUGAAAGGAAGGAAAAAUUAUUUUCAACAGUUUGCCAAUUUCUUGACAAUUUUGACAGCAACUACUCAGAAAAAGAGAGAGAGAACCUGUUGACAAUAAAGGUGGAGGAACAUAGUUUCAGACGUCAAGGCGAUAAGCUUGAUUACCAGCCAGCACUCAAUGCUCUGAAAGAAUCCUGGGCAUUGUGGUUGACCCUUCAUGAGACCCAUAUCGAGAAGGAUGAUGAUAUCUCUGACUUGGAAGCAGACUUACUUCAACAAUUGACAAACACAAGGAACAUGAUGUUGAAAGGACAAAGCCGAAAUUUCUAUGACCAUCUGAAGCAGGCUGUUGUUAGAACCAACCUGCACUGCCGUGAUAAAACCAAGUGGGACUAUGAUGCAAAAUCUUCCUGGCAGAAAGCUGCAAAAUGUGACCCCUUUUACAGAGCAGUGGCGCUAUACAACCAAGCUUACAUCACAAUUAACCUGGCAGAGAGUGACCAUAAAACAGAGGCUAGUAAAUUACUGCAGGAAGCAAAAGACACACUAGGUAUCUAUAUCUCUGAAACAACAAACACUUUGAAUGCAUGUCAGAUGGCAAUGAGGGGCAACUUUGAGCCACAUCAUGAUGGUGUCUGCAAUUUCCAAAGUCAGAUGCAAUCUAGGAUGAAUAUUUUCCAAGCAUGGCUGGGAUACAUUAACAGUACACUGAAAAAACUUGCAGAGCUAAAGAACAGUAAAAGUAGCGCCAUAACAGAGGAUUCCUCAGUGUAUGCACUCUCAGACGGGACAGACUAUGUCACCACAAAUGAACUCAUGGGCCUGUAUGAGUACGGCCUUGGCAUGGUGUUCGAAGUAAAAGAGAAGCCAAGGUUCAACAUUGAUGCUCUUGUGUGUUUUUUACUGGGUGCAUGUCAGGUUCUGGCUGGAGUUCUUGUUUGUGCUCUGUCCUAUGGCUCCGCCUCCCAGUUUGGUCUUGCCUUGAUCUCAGAGGGAGUGUCUGACAUGAUCAGUGGGUGUGAUGGCAUGAUAACUGGCAGUUUCAGUUGGGCAUCGUGGGCCAUCUCCAAAAGCAUCGGUAUUGGGAUAUCUUUGCUCACUUCUGGAUUUGGCACCAUCAAGAGAGCUGUCCAGUCUGUAUAUAAAGCCACAAAAGGCUUGCUAACAGGUACAAAAACCCUGUCAUCUGUUGCAAAAGGUGUCAUUAAAUCAGGGAAACAUGCAUUCAUGUCUUUCAAAGGCAGUGUCACAGCGGUCUCCUCUCUGUCCCUAGGUACAGUGAAGAAGCUGGGCACGAAAACUGUAGUCAAACAGACUUUCAAACAUGCAACCAAGUAUGCAGGACAGGAAAUGGCUAAGCAGAUAGUUACCCACACAUUGCAUUACUUCAUUGAUGCAGGGCUUCAAGCUGUACUGAAGGAGAUUUUGAACAAGGCUUUCAAGGAUUCAAUCACCUCUGUAGUUAAAGAGAAUGAUGCAUUGAGUCACACUCUCACAGAGCUUGUAUGUGCUGGAGUUCCAAAAUCAGCUUUACAGAAACAAGCUGCUGAGUUCAAGAUAGACAGGGAGUGUGAAAAAAGUAUUAAAGAUUUAGUAAAAUCAGUGACAGAAAAAAUUAUUUCUGAUCUUAUGAUAGAUUGCAGCACAGUGCAUGAGAUCAUUGACAGAGUCUCUCAGGUGUGUAGCAAAGCGUCAGACCUUAUGGACAACGCAGGAGUGCCUGGAAAAGUCCAAACUGCUAUCUCUGCAAGCCUCUGCAUAGCAGAGUUCAGUACAGUGCUAGUCCAAAUGUUGAACUCUAUCCCUACAGAAAAAUGUAUCAAUGACAGAUUCUCUUCCAAGUUGAUAAAAGAAAUUCAUGCGCAACUGCCAAAUGGGUAUGACCAGGAUGGCAGACACAGACUCCUUGAUGUGGGACGCCUGAAGAAUGAGCUCCUCGAGGGCAUCUCAGAGAAUGUCUCCCAGGAAUUUAUUGAGUCCUGUGCCAGACACAUGAACUCCUUGAUAACACAUAUUUUUAAGGAAAAGAUCAAUAAAGUCACGAACGCCAUUGGCAAUACCACUAGCAACAUGCUUGGCAGGUACAAAACGGAAAACUAUUUCGUAGAGCAGAAGCAGAGGCAUGACAUGAAAUCAGCCAGUAAGCAUGCAGGGGAGUCUACAUGUGAGAUUGAACAGUCGGACCUCCAUCAUUACAUCAAUAACAUCAGUGAUAUUGACCGCCCUGCUUCAGAGCUGGACAUCUAUGUCCUUACAAAGAGUGACCUACUCCAGGGCCAAGGCAUCAGGGUCAAGGUAGUGGAUAAACAUGGGAAACCACUCGAUGAGCAAUCCUACCCAGGCACUGACUGCUCAGCAGGAUACAUCACACUCAAACUGACCAUGGAGCCAGAGACAGCUAAAAGUGAGAUGGGUCUGUUAUCUCACAUACAAGACCGAAUCCAAGGUGUUCAAACUGCGUACAGCGGCCAUUUUACCAUUGUUCAACCAGAUGGAUGUGAGACCAGGGUGAUGUCAGAGGGCCAGAAUUGCAUGUACCAUGCCUUAAUCCAGGCAACAUCCAGAAGCCAGGAGCAGGACAUCAAAGAACAGGCAAGGAUUCUGCGCAAAAAAGUACAAAGCGAGGUUCAGGAAAACCUCCCAACCUACUGUGAGUUAGUAAAACUCCAGAAGCGCUAUGAUAAUGUUAUGGAUCCUGGAAAAUAUUCCAUAUUGGGAGGGGUAAGGCCAGAAAAGAAGAUUAUCAGCCAGGACUACAGGGAUGCCAUCGCACCUAUGACGGAAACCGACUAUAUCAUUGCCCAGCUUUACGACCUUGGUUAUGUUGCCACAUACAAAGAGUAAAGUAGUUUCAUCUUCAUUUGGAUACCGAUUGCAUAGAUGAUUUAGAGACACUCAGGAUACAAUUGUAAAAGAAAUGAGUUCUCUAAUCAUAUGAAAAUGAAUUUAGAAAUGUAUUAUUUCUACACUCAGGAAAUGUCUUCAAAAUAUCAAUAAAGGUAAUGUUUCAAUAUUCAAGACUGUUUCGAAGACUCUUAGCUGCUUGAUACUGUACAUAUGGCCCCUGAUAUGUCUCAUGCACUUUCUUUUUCUCUUCCCUCAAAAGUGUAAGAAACACCAUAUUGUCUGGAAGGUACGCUGUGGAAGCCGACCACAUCAUACCAAAGGACACAUUAAGGAAGGCACUAGUACACCGUGACUUGGAAAAACUCAAGAGUAAGAAUUCACAACUUUAUGCUCUAGUAACAAGUAUUCAAUCGGACCCAAAUGGAAGAUGCCACCUUGUCAUGCAGGUUCUCUACCAACAUCACCGCACUGCCUUGACAACUGGCAAUUGCAUGGAGGCCAAACUGUGCAGGUGAGUCAGCAGGUGUGAGAUGUUUGCGUGCAUGUACAUCUGCACUGGGCGUGCAAGUGAAUCUGUUUCAGAGUACAGUGGAUUUAUUUAUGAAAGCAUGAAUAAGAAUAUGUCCCUUUUUAACCUUAAAGUCUUAUAGAAUGUUGCCCACCCAUCCCUGGUCCCUCUCUCUGCCCCAUUUCCCAACAGGGCACUGCUGGCUGACACACUCGUAAGUGGGAAUGCUGAGAAGAUGCUGAAGCAGGCCAUGAUUAUGGCCAAUCCUGUGUCCUCCCAGAAGCUUAGGGAUUAUGCAGGUAUCGACAUCACAAGCUUGUCUACUGCUGUCCAUUCCCUACUGCUCUGUUUAUUCCAUGUUGCUCCAUGCAUUCCCCACUGCUUAAUCCAUUCCCCACUGCUCUAUUCACUCUCUUAUUCAACAUCCAUUCUCUACUCCAGUGCUCUUUAAUUCUAUGUAACUGCUUAAAUUUGGAUGAGUAUUUUUAUUCAGAGGACUUACCAGUUUAUUGUACAUGUUUACCCUACACCUAGGCCUCAGAAACCGCUCGUCCAUUGGAAAACAUCAAGACUUUUCAGAAAAUGGGACGAACUGCUACUACAAAGCUGGGUUCAUGAAUGUGUUCAGUGAGUAUCUGAAAAUUGGCAUCAUUGACCAGAACCAGCAUACGAGGCUAAAGUCAUGGGCCAAAGAAAACAGGCACCAGGACACAAACACAGAGGAGUUUAGAGAGAUACAAAGAAUAGUCGAAGGACAACAAGGUGAGAAAUCGAGGAAACGGGUGAGAGGAAACAUGCUCGGACCACAGACACAUCAAAGCCCCUGACAAAGUGGGAACAUUCUCUCUCCCUGUAUCCUAUAGUCAUUUACACAGAAUUUAGAUCAUGCAUUUAAUUAUGUUUGUAAAGGAAAAUAAUGUAGACAUCAGCUGUAUAUUGAUGACCAAUGUAGGGUCUUUGUAAGCCCGAAUGUCACAUGCUGGAGAAUGGUGAAUGAUUUCUUAUGUUUCUUCAUGAGGGACUUGGUUUUCUAUCUGUUACAUAAAAAAGGAAAAGACCCGACUCUCUGUUCAAGUCAUAGGCCUCUCUCCCUCAUCAAUAUUGACAUGAAAUUGUACGCCAAGGUUCUAGCCAAACACCUUGAAACUAUUUUGCAAAAACUAGUUCAUCCUGGUUUGUCAAAUAUCGAUUGGCGUCAGACAAUUGGAGACGUCUCCUACGUAUAAUACAAAUUACACCUGAUAUACCAUCCUCCUGUGCAGUCCUGUCAAUUGAUGCAGAGAUGGCCUUUGACUGUCUCGGGUUGGGUCUACCUCUGGUAAACUAUGGAACAUAUGGGAUUUGUUUAUGACUAUGUUGAAGACACUGUAUAGUAACCCCUCUUUAAUGGUCUUGAGAGUGUGAUGGAAAUGUGAUACAUUUGCUUUUCUUAUAACUAAUUUCUGUGUUCUAUUCAUGUGCUGUUCUAUAAACCAAUUUCUGUGUUCAUGCAAGUGACUGACUGAACGAACCCUCACUAUCAGUAACUGCAAUUUAGCAGUACGUCCAGACCUUGUUUUGAGAAUGAAAGACGUCUCAGCUUAGAGAGAAGAAGCCUCGUGAGGUAUUCGUUAUGAACCAGUAUUGGUCGGUCAUGUGAAUGAAACAAAACACAAAUAAUUAAUUAAUUAUGCUAAAUCAUGCAAAUGUAACUUGUAUGUGUAUAGCCGUAUAUAAGACAACUGCUGGGACAGCCCAGGCAGAGCUUCUGACCGACGUUCACAAUGGUAUGCUGACAAAUAAACAUUGAUUAAUUUAAGAUUUACUUCGAGGGUCCCUGUGUAAAAUUCCACAACAAUGUGUAACCAGUGCUCCUCAGUUUUCCAUCAAACGGUGAUCUCAUCAAGGCUGUCCAGUGUCCAGUCUCCUAUUUGCCAUAUCACUGGCACCUUUUGGAAGAAAUAAAAAUGUCAAUCCUACUUCAAUCGAGUACAGGCUUAACUGAAUGACAGAGACAAAAUGCAAUCUAGAAUUUUAUUGAAUUGUUUGGGGUAGACCUCAUCUCUGAGGAAUGCUCCUUGGCAUCAGAUGCUGAUGACAGGUUACCUUAUGCUAGGGCAGUUGGCAUCAAAACCCCCCAAAAAUAAAUACGUUACUCACCAGGGAGAAGGGACACAUGGAGCAAUGGUUGGAUAUUAAGACACUGGUAAAUAGAUGUAAAAGAGAUGCAUGCAAAGACUAGAACAAAAGUGCAAUUAUACUGUAUACUGUAAUGUAAAGUAUUAUAUGAAAUGUUUGUUAAUUACAUCUAACCAACCACACAUGAUGUAAUGCAAUAUGUAUGAUUAACGUGAAACUACAGCUGAGCUUUGAACCCAAUAGUGCAGAUCUUCAACCAAAACAUAAUAUUAGAUAAAAUAAAUCUGAAUGAACAAAUAAAACAACAAUUACAUAUUUAAUUUAUUUCAUAAACAAAGUUAUGCAACACCUAAUGCCCCUGUGUGAAAAAGUAAUUGCCCCCUUACACUCAAAAACUGGUUGUGCCACCUUUAGCUGCAAUGACUGCAACCAAAUGCUUCCUGUAGUUGUUGAUCAGUCUCUUGUGUCGCUGUGGAGGUAUUUUGGCCCAUUCUUCCAUGCAUAAUUGCUUUAACUCAGUGACAUUUGUGGCUAUUCAAGCAUGAACUGCUCGUUUCAAGUCCUGCCACAACAUCUAAAUUGGGAUUAGGUCUGGUCUUUGACUUGGUCAUUCCAAAACGUCAAAUUUGUUGCUUUUUGACCAUUUUCAUGUAGACUUGAUUGUGUGUUUUGGAUCACUGUUUUGCUGCAUGACACAGCUGCGCUUCAGCUCACAGAUGGAUGGCCUGACAUUCUCCUGUAGAAUUCAUGGUUCCUUCUAUUAAGGCAAGUUGUUCAGGUCCUGAGGCAGCAAAGCAUCCCCAAACCAUCAUACUACCACAACCAUGCUUGACCGUUGGUAUGAGGUUCUUACUGUAAAAUACAGUGUUUGGUUUUUGCCAGACAUAAUGGGACCCAUGUCCAAAAAGUUAUGUCCAUAGAACAUUCUUCCAAGGUGCUUCCAAGUGUUUUUCCACUCAAUUGUCCAGUGUUGGUGAUCGCGUGCCACUGGAGCCGCAAUAGCCCAUCCGUGACAAGGACCGGCGAGUUGUGUGUUCCGAGAUGCCGUUCUGCACACAACUAUUGUAUUGCGCUGUUUUUGCCUGUUUGUGGCCCACCUGUUAGCUUGCACAAUUCUUGCCAUUCUCCUUUGACCUCAUCAACUAGUUGUUUUCGCCCACAGGACUGCCGCUGACUGGAUGGAUUUUGUUCAUCGCAGAAUUCUCGGUAAACCCUAGACACUGUCUUGCAUGAAAAGACCAGGAAGCAGGACGUUUCUGAGGUACUGGAACCGGCGCGCAUGGCACCGAUGAUGAUGAGGAUACCAUACUUAUGUUGGUUAGGUCAUUAGUUUUGCCCAUUCUAAGAUUCAAUCAAACAGUAACUGAAUGCCUUGAUGCCUGUCUUCCUGCUUUAUAUAGCAAGCCAACGCCAUGUGACUCACUGUCUUUAGGAGCUAACCAUUUUCUUGAACCAGGUGGUGUACCUAAUAAACUGACAAAGAGGCCUCCCAC
Molecule: long non-coding RNA, 10017 nt
Filed under: Oncorhynchus kisutch (coho salmon)
Lineage: Eukaryota; Metazoa; Chordata; Actinopteri; Salmoniformes; Salmonidae
Description: lncRNA (ENSOKIG00005033253.1)
Source: RNAcentral